CCUACGGGAGGCAGCAGUGAGGAAUAUUGGUCAAUGGGCGCGAGCCUGAACCAGCCAAGUAGCGUGAAGGAUGACUGCCCUACGGGUUGUAAACUUCUUUUAUAAAGGAAUAAAGUGAGGCACGUGUGCCUUUUUGUAUGUACUUUAUGAAUAAGGAUCGGCUAACUCCGUGCCAGCAGCCGCGGUAAUACGGAGGAUCCGAGCGUUAUCCGGAUUUAUUGGGUUUAAAGGGAGCGUAGAUGGGGUGUUAAGUCAGUUGUGAAAGUUUGCGGCUCAACCGUAAAAUUGCAAUUGAUAAUGGCAGGUGUGAGUACAGUGGAGGUAGGCGGAAUUCGUGGUGUAGCGGUGAAAUGCUUAGAUAUCACGAAGAACCCCGAUUGCGAAGGCAGCUUACUAAACUGCCACUGACAUUGAUGCUCGAAAGUGUGGGUAUCAAACAGGAUUAGAUACCCGAGUAGUC
This 460-nucleotide ribosomal RNA is filed under the name uncultured bacterium. RNAcentral describes it as "partial 16S ribosomal RNA". It matches the Rfam family "Bacterial small subunit ribosomal RNA", at positions 338 to 795 of the family's 1533-position model. The record is from RNAcentral.